GCCCUGCAAGAGCAUGGUCCUGGUGUGGCUGUGCUCUCCUAGGAUGUCUGGUGGAUGGCCCUGGCCAAGCCUAACCCAGCCACAGGGGGUUCUGUGCUGAUUUGGGUUUUUUUUAGCUCUAUUUUCUUACUCUCCACCCUCACUUCCAGCUUCCAACUUCCUGUGUCCUGUGUUAUUUUUGACAAGUCAACUCUUGACAGACUCCCAGGCCUGUUAUUACUGGCUUGUACAUACAAGCAGCUAUUAUCUGUCACGGGGUACAUUUCACAAGACUGAUUUUCUGAUCUAAUUCUAGUUUUCUCUUCCCUUCCUUCUUCCAAAUGCAUGGUAGUAGUUCCAUUCUCUUUGGUGGCUGUGUGUGGAGCUCACAGAGAUCCACAUGCUACAGACAGAAGUGAACAGCUGCUUGGAAUGAUGCUGUCUGCCUGGAGUGAUGGAGUGUGCAAGAAUGUGAAAUCCAGGUGUCUUUUAGCAAAGAGUUCUUGGGAACAGAGAAAAUGCAAAGUGAUGCUGGGAAACUCCAGAACAUGAUUUGGGAUGGGAAUCAACGAAUGCUGCAUUCACAAGUGCUGUGCUCCCUCUGCAUUUCUCCUGAUCCUAGUUUUCAUCCCUGUUUUUGUUUUAAUCUGGUGUAUUUUAAUUCAUGGCCUCAUUUUAGCAGUGCAGUGUCUUGCUACUGAUGCAGCUCGUACUAUCACAGCGCUGGGGUUGUAAAGCAAAGCAGACAGUGAUGGCACAGUCCAUGUAAGAUUGUUGAAGCAUUUUAAGAUGUAUCAGAGAUACCCACGUUACCUGUAUUUCACUGCAGUGAUUAAAACAGAGGAUUGGGGUUUGUUCCUGAAGAUGGUGA
Long non-coding RNA from Pezoporus occidentalis (night parrot), 850 nucleotides. RefSeq lists it as uncharacterized. The record is from RefSeq and is a predicted model, not a curated record. The transcript has 2 exons. Lineage: Eukaryota; Metazoa; Chordata; Aves; Psittaciformes; Psittacidae.